Molecule: long non-coding RNA, 482 nt
Organism: Dermochelys coriacea (leatherback sea turtle)
Lineage: Eukaryota; Metazoa; Chordata; Testudines; Dermochelyidae
Exons: 4
Source: RefSeq, a predicted model, not a curated record
GGAUUCUUACAGUUUGAUUUGGCAGAUAUACUUGAAACUGAUCACAUUAAAGGAGGUUGGCUGUCGAGGGGCUAUACAUUCAUAUAGCCCAAGUUAAUCAAUAUUUAUUCUGUUCUGUAAUUAAAGAUGAGAAAUACAAUGUUUUUAUUGCUAUUUUCCAGGUAACAGCUGUUAUGCCUUCAAGACCCAGCUAUAACAGGCUGAGGUAACUAAAAAAGUUACGUGAGAAAAUAAAGCAUGAGGAGAAAGAUUGCAACAGGACCAUAAAAUGAACACACAUGUAUUUGCUGACAUGACCAAGAAAUGCUAAGAAGCACCCUUUGAAGUCAGUGAGAGCUAGUGAGUGCUUCAGCAAAAAAGAACCUCUGCCUCAUUCUGUGCAUCCUGUGAUGAAUCAUGGUUGUGUAAUAAAGGAGGCUGUUGUAUGUGGGAUCCCUUCCUCAUUUCUUGCAGGAGUUGGAAGGCGUGUACUGAAUGAGGCA